Molecule: ribosomal RNA, 566 nt
Filed under: uncultured fungus
Lineage: Eukaryota; Fungi
Description: eukaryotic LSU rRNA
Rfam family: 5.8S ribosomal RNA (bases 204-341)
Source: RNAcentral
UUUCCGUAGGUGAACCUGCGGAGGGAUCAUUAAAGAGUUGCAAAACUAUCGCUACCAUUGUGAACCUACCUUCAACCGUUGCUUCGGAGCUCGGGCACCGGGUCUCCCGGCGAUCGCGGCCCCCUCGCGGGGCGGCCCGCCGGAGGUACCUAACUCUUGAACAUUGUAUGGCCUCUCUGAGUCUUCUGUUCGUAGAUGCUCGUGAAUUUCAACAACGAGCUCGCUGGUUCUGGCAUCGAUGAAGAACGCAGCGAAAUGCGAUAAGUAAUGUGAAUUGCAGAAUUCAGUGAAUCAUCGAAUCUUUGAACGCACAUUGCGCCCGCCAUGCUCGCUGAUAGUCGCUCGUGAUAUGCUCGCUGAUAGUCGCUCGUGAUAGUCGCUGUAGAUGCUCGCUGAUGAUGCUCGUGAUAGCUGCUCGUAGUGGCGGGCUCGCUGUCACACCGAGCGUAGUAGCAUUAUCUCGCUCUGGGCGUGCUGCGUGUCCCGGCCGUAAAACGACCUUACACCCAAGGUUGACCUCGGAUCAGGUAUGCUCCGUGAUAGAUCGCUCGUGAUAGCUGAUGCUC